CACGGGUGAGUAACACGUAGGUAAUGGUGCCUUUGGGUGGGGAAGUAACUUAGGGAAACUUAAGCUAAUACCGCAUAAUGCAGCGGCUCCUAAUGGAGACAGUUGUUAAAGAUUUAUCGCCUAAAGAGCAGCCUGCGGCAGAUUAGCUAGUUGGUAAGGUAAUGGCUUACCAAGGCUACGAUCUGUAUCCGACCUGAGAGGGUGGUCGGACACACUGACACUGAAUAACGGGUCAG
RNAcentral lists this ribosomal RNA (236 nucleotides) under uncultured bacterium. RNAcentral's name for it is "partial 16S ribosomal RNA". It matches the Rfam family "Bacterial small subunit ribosomal RNA", at positions 102 to 334 of the family's 1533-position model. The record is from RNAcentral.